Paramuricea clavata is the source of this 119-nucleotide non-coding RNA. Lineage: Eukaryota; Metazoa; Cnidaria; Anthozoa; Malacalcyonacea; Plexauridae. The record is from the annotation of a GenBank genome assembly.
UAAAAGGGGGAAUAUUUAAUAUUCCCCCUUUUAAAGAUCUUUAAAAGGGGGAAUAUUCCAAAGGGGGAAUAUUGGAAUAUUCCCCCUUUUAAAGAUAUUUAAAAGGGGGAAUAUCGCGA